AAAGAUUUAGUUAAAUGUUGUCAUAAUGUUAAUUUGUCAAAUUAAAGUUAGAUUAAAUUCUAGUCUUUA
This 69-nucleotide transfer RNA is filed under the name Bemisia tabaci. RNAcentral's name for it is "tRNA-Asp". The record is from RNAcentral. Lineage: Eukaryota; Metazoa; Arthropoda; Insecta; Hemiptera; Aleyrodidae.